UUUGGCAGCCAUAUCACCCUGCAGCCCAAGACUGGUUGCCCACUGAAGCUAAGCAGGGCCGAGCCUGGUCAGUACCUGGAUGGGAGACCUCCUGGGAAAACUAGGUUGCUGCUGGAA
RNAcentral lists this ribosomal RNA (117 nucleotides) under Sinocyclocheilus grahami. Lineage: Eukaryota; Metazoa; Chordata; Actinopteri; Cypriniformes; Cyprinidae. The record is from RNAcentral.